Molecule: ribosomal RNA, 465 nt
Filed under: uncultured bacterium
Lineage: Bacteria
Description: partial 16S ribosomal RNA
Rfam family: Bacterial small subunit ribosomal RNA
Source: RNAcentral
GACGAACGCUGGCGGCGUGCUUAACACAUGCAAGUCGAACGGAAAGGCCCUGCUUGCAGGGUACUCGAGUGGCGAACGGGUGAGUAACACGUGGGUGAUCUGCCCUGCACUUCGGGAUAAGCCUGGGAAACUGGGUCUAAUACCGGAUAGGAGCCAUUUUUAGUGUGAUGGUUGGAAAGUUUUUUCGGUGUAGGAUGAGCUCGCGGCCUAUCAGCUUGUUGGUGGGGUAAUGGCCUACCAAGGCGGCGACGGGUAGCCGGCCUGGGAGGGUGGACGGCCACAUUGGGACUGAGAUACGGCCCAGACACCUACGGGAGGCAGCAGGGGGGAAGAUUGCACAAGGGGCGCAAGCCUGAUGCAGCGACGCCGCGGGGGGGAUGACGGCCUUCGGGUUGUAAAAUCCUUUCGCUAGGGACGAAGCUUUUUGUGACGGUACCUAGAUAAGAAGCACCGGCUAACUACGUG